This 253-nucleotide ribosomal RNA is filed under the name uncultured bacterium. Its description in RNAcentral is "partial 16S ribosomal RNA". It matches the Rfam family "Bacterial small subunit ribosomal RNA", at positions 524 to 776 of the family's 1533-position model. The record is from RNAcentral.
UACGGAAGGUGCAAACGUUGUCCGGAAUCAUUGGGCGUAAAGCGCGUGUAGGCGGCCCGGUAAGUCCGCUCUGAAAGUCGGGGGCUCAACCCUCGGAUGCGGGUGGAUACUGUCGGGCUUGAGUGCGGAAGAGGCGAGUGGAAUUCCUGGUGUAGCGGUGAAAUGCGCAGAUAUCAGGAGGAACACCAAUUGCGAAGGCAGCUCGCUGGGACGUUACUGACGCUGAGACGCGAAAGCGUGGGGAGCAAACAGG